GCUUAACACAUGCAAGUCGAACGCGGUCCAUCCAGUGGCAACACUGGUGAAGACCGAGUGGCGAACGGGUGAGUAACACGUGAGCAACCUGUCCCGAAGACCGGGAUAAGCCUGGGAAACCGGGUCUAAUACCGGAUGCCCCCACCGAGCCGCAUGACUCGGUGAGGAAAUGGAUUCCGCUUCGGGAGGGGCUCGCGGCCUAUCAGCUUGUUGGUGGGGUAACGGCCUACCAAGGCGUCGACGGGUAGCUGGUCUGAGAGGACGAUCAGCCACACUGGGACUGAGACACGGCCCAGACUCCUACGGGAGGCAGCAGUGGGGAAUCUUGCGCAAUGGGCGAAAGCCUGACGCAGCAACGCCGCGUGAGGGACGAAGGCCCUCGGGUUGUAAACCUCUUUCAGCAGGGACGAUUGUGACGGUACCUGCAGAAGAAGCCCCGGCCAACUACGUGCCAGCAGCCGCGGUAAUACGUAGGGGGCGAGCGUUGUCCGGAUUCAUUGGGCGUAAAG
Molecule: ribosomal RNA, 509 nt
Filed under: uncultured bacterium
Lineage: Bacteria
Description: bacterial SSU rRNA
Rfam family: Bacterial small subunit ribosomal RNA
Source: RNAcentral